Molecule: long non-coding RNA, 782 nt
Filed under: Homo sapiens (human)
Lineage: Eukaryota; Metazoa; Chordata; Mammalia; Primates; Hominidae
Description: non-protein coding lnc-NRDE2-2:1
Source: RNAcentral
GACGGGAUCUCACUGUGUUACCCAGGCUGGUCCUGAACUCCUGGACUCAAGCAGCCCUCCCGCCUCAGCCUCCGAAAGUGCUGGUGUGAGCCACCAUGCCCGGCCAUCUCCUCACUUAUAAUUUGAAGAUGAUCCCUAGGUCAGAAGUCAAAUCAAGCUUUCAGUGGGGCUGUGCUCCUUCCCCAGGCUCUGGAGGAGGACGGGUGUCCCCGUCUUCUCCAGCGGCUAGAGGCUUCCUGCGGCCUUGGCUCGUGGCCACCUCACGUCACCUUUCCUUCCUCUGCUCCGUCACUGCGUCACCUUUCUGCCUUUGACCUCCUGCCUCCCUCUAAGGACUCUGCUGGUUGCUCUGGGCCCCCUGGAUAGUCCAGGGCCAUUGCCCCACCUCGAGAGCCUUCGUUCAAUCACAUCUGCAUCGCUCCAUCUGUCAUGGAAGGCAACAUAGUCACAGGUUCCAGGGCUCGGGAUGUGGACGUCUUUGAGGGGCAGGGGGAGCACGUUAUUCUGCAGGCCGCAGCGUGGGAGCUGGGAGGCUGUCAGGCUCCUGCUGUCACACAGCGACCAUGGUGCUUAGACCAAGGGGCGUGGAGGAAGUGGCGAGAGGCACUGGACUGUGAAGAUUCUGAAGACAGAGCCAAGAGGGUUGCUCACACAUGGAGCUGGGUGUGAGGGAGGGGAGACGCCAGGGAUGAGGGUGAGGGUCUUGUCCUGAGCUACUGGAAGGAUGGCGAUGAUGGCCAGGAAACAGGAAGAAUAGGUUGGGGAGGAGAGGAGAAGGCAGG